RNAcentral lists this long non-coding RNA (1263 nucleotides) under Coturnix japonica (Japanese quail). RNAcentral describes it as "lncRNA (ENSCJPG00005019481.1)". Lineage: Eukaryota; Metazoa; Chordata; Aves; Galliformes; Phasianidae. The record is from RNAcentral.
AUGUGCCGCCUGGUACAGAGGCACCACUGCCUCCAAGCUUUCUGGCCUGAACCCUGGAGUGCUAAUUUCCUCCAAAUAGUACAGUUUCUGGGUAAGGAAAAACAGAAACGCGUGAACCUACAAGAUAAAGGAUGGGUUGCUGCUGCCUUCCUUCUGAGCAGGUACUACCUGACAAGCACGCCUUUACUGUUCGUAGAGGAGACCGCGAUUCUGCGACCUGCACCAUUUCUGCCAGGUCUCGCAGCGCCGCGCAUCAGUUCCACCGGGCCACCUCGCUCCCCAGCCCUGGGAGCUCCUUGGCGGACCCCGAGACGUCCCCGCAGCCCCACACGGCACCCCGCGACUGUCGGCACAGGCGCCGAAGGCAGCGCGGGCCUCGCUCGAAGGAACGCACUGCAACCCCUCAAGGGAUUCUGCGCUUACCUUUCGGAGCCUCGCAUCGAGCGUGGGCGCGCCUCGCCUCCAGCUCCACCUCAGGGCUGCGCAGCCCCGCCGCGCCAUCCCCGCGAUCCACCACACACUCACCAGGGCGUGGAGCUUUCGCCAUCUGGGUGCUACCCGCUCCGGGCCGAGCCGGGGCCGGCCGCGUCAGCUGCUCGCCCGCGAGGCCCUCCAGGCACGCCAGCACCCCGCGCCCCACCGCCCCAUCUGCUCGCGGCGAACGCUCCGCACCGCCCCAUCACGCCGCGCAGCCCCCGCCGUUUAAGGCACACAGAGCGGCUCCCACGCACCAUGGGGCCGAGCCCAGGCGGCGCGGGCCGCGGCUGCUCGGAAUCGGCGCGGAGACGGCCGUGCGCAAGGAUCGAUCACGCCAGCUCGCCCGGAGGGGCCUCCCCCGGAGCCGGGCCGCCGCUGGAGACGGGGGGAGGCCUCGCGCUUCUGGCAGCGCCCAUGUUCGCAGAGGAAGCCCGCGAGGCGCGCGGCCCACCCGCCCGUCCCGCCCGGUGUCCGGAGCGCGGUUCCCGGCCUUCGCGGCGCACCUCAGAGAAGGGAGAAGCGGCGGGAGCCGUUCCGCGCCGCCCUGCGCCCAACGUCCCGCUGCGCAGCGCCGGGGGCUCGCCCUGCACGCGGCUCCUCAGUGCUGCAGCGCUGCCUGCGCAGCUCCUGUCAGCAGCAUCUCUUCGCCUGUUGCCCAGCCCUGCACGGCUGAACUGCUGCAAGGCACUGCCUUGCAAGUCAGCGCCGUGCUGGCAAGCUGAACUAGGGAACAUUCAGGGCUUGUUUCUUCUCCCUUCGCGACCCUCGCUAGAGGCAUUUCUCUAA